UUUCAGAGAUGAGAAUGUGCCUUCGGGAACCGUGAGACAGGUGCUGCUAUGGCUGUCGUCAGCUCGUGUUGUGAAAUGUUGGGUUAAGUCCCGCAACGAGCGCAACCCUUAUCCUUUGUUGCCAGCGGUCCGGCCGGGAACUCAAAGGAGACUGCCAGUGAUAAACUGGAGGAAGUGGGAUGACGUCAAGUCAUCAUGGCCCUUACGACCAGGGCUACACACGUGCUACAAUGGCGCAUACAAAGAGAAGCGACCUCGCGAGAGCAAGCGGACCUCAUAAAGUGCGUCGUAGUCCGGAUUGGAGUCUGCAACUCGACUCCAUGAAGUCGGAAUCGCUAGUAAUCGUGGAUCAGAAUGCCACGGUGAAUACGUUCCCGGGCCUU
This 383-nucleotide ribosomal RNA is filed under the name uncultured Enterobacteriaceae bacterium. RNAcentral describes it as "bacterial SSU rRNA". It matches the Rfam family "Bacterial small subunit ribosomal RNA", at positions 998 to 1382 of the family's 1533-position model. The record is from RNAcentral. Lineage: Bacteria; Pseudomonadati; Pseudomonadota; Gammaproteobacteria; Enterobacterales; Enterobacteriaceae.